AGUGAACGCUGGCGGCAGGCCUAACACAUGCAAGUCGAACGGCAGCACAGUAAGAGCUUGCUCUUACGGGUGGCGAGUGGCGGACGGGUGAGGAAUACAUCGGCAUCUACUUUUUCGUGGGGGAUAACGUAGGGAAACUUACGCUAAUACCGCAUACGACCUACGGGUGAAAGCAGAGGAUCUUCGGACCUUGCGCGAUUGAAUGAGCCGAUGUCGGAUUAGCUAGUUGGCGGGGUAAAGGCCCACCAAGGCGACGAUCCGUAGCUGGUCUGAGAGGAUGAUCAGCCACACUGGAACUGAGACACGGUCCAGACUCCUACGGGAGGCAGCAGUGGGGAAUAUUGGACAAUGGGCGCAAGCCUGAUCCAGCCAUACCGCGUGGGUGAAGAAGGCCUUCGGGUUGUAAAGCCCUUUUGUUGGGAAAGAAAAGCAGCAGGUUAAUACCCCGCUGUUCUGACGGUACCCAAGGAAUAAGCACCGGCUAACUUCGUG
Molecule: ribosomal RNA, 492 nt
Filed under: uncultured bacterium
Lineage: Bacteria
Description: partial 16S ribosomal RNA
Rfam family: Bacterial small subunit ribosomal RNA
Source: RNAcentral